ACUCCUACGGGAGGCAGCAGUGGGGAAUUUUGGACAAUGGGCGCAAGCCUGAUCCAGCCAUGCCGCGUGAGUGAAGAAGGCCUUCGGGUUGUAAAGCCCUUUUGUCGGGAAAGAAAAGCAUUUGAUUAAUACUCGA
Molecule: ribosomal RNA, 136 nt
Filed under: uncultured Stenotrophomonas sp.
Lineage: Bacteria; Pseudomonadati; Pseudomonadota; Gammaproteobacteria; Lysobacterales; Lysobacteraceae
Description: partial 16S ribosomal RNA
Rfam family: Bacterial small subunit ribosomal RNA
Source: RNAcentral